GCUGGAGAGAAUGAGCUUGGAGCCGCAGGGCUUAAUCCCGCGCGGCUCAGAGAUGGGUUUCUGGACUCGCGAAGCAGCUGCAACAAGGCAUCACUCACUGUAUAAGUAUUUCCAUUUCUGAGAGCAAAAGGAAGAACUUAAGCGGGCGGCACUUGGAGUGUAAAUUGCUUUGUAGUAUUUAAAGGCAGAAUGGAUCCUGGGCAGCCGAGCUGCAACAAACCGGCAGGACUUCCUGUGAAAUCAUGACCACCAUGUGCUCUUUCAGCCUCUAUCAGUUCCUACCUCUAAGCACCUGAGAGCCAAAGCAAACCACAGGAAACCACAGACUCAAACUAAACGUCAGCUUUUCCCGGCUCUCAAGCCUGCUGGUCCCUGAACUAAAACUCACAUUAUCAACUCUACUGGUUCUUAGGCCUUUGGAGUCAGACUGGAACUACAGCAUUGACUCUUCCGGAACUCCAGCUUACUGACUACAGAUCUUGGAACUUUUCAGCUUCCACAACCAUAAUGAAAGCCAAGCAUAUUCCAUCAUUUCCUAAAACCAAGAUAGAGCACAUAUGGGAACUUGUGAAAUAAGGAUGCCCUGCGGUUGUUUUCAGGACUGAAGACAACAGCUCCACGAUGAAACCAAAGCACAAAGAGAGAAAGAAAAGAAAGAGAAAAAAGGAAGAAAGAAAAGAAAGAUGAAAGAAAGAAAGAGAAAGAAGAGAGAGGGAGAGAGAGAAAGAAAGAGAAGGAAAGAAAGAAGGAAGAAGAAAGAAAGAAAGAAAGAAAGAAAGAAAGAAAGAAAGAAAGAAAGAAAGAAAGAAAGAAAGAAAGAAAGAAAAAAGGAAGGAAGGAAAAGAAACACAUGGAAAGUGCUUCUUUGGACCUUUUAAGUUGCAUUAUCCCAUAAAAUGUGGUGGAUUCAAUGUUGUAUGGCCUGUAAAACUAAGUAAUGAAGGCUGAUAUGUACCCACCUGGCUCUGUCUUGGGAUCACACAACUUGGGAGCCAAAACAGGUGAGGAUGGGGAGGUGUCAAACAAGACCUAACCUCUCAACAAUCAGCUGGACACUGUUGUGUAAGAAUGUGAAGCUUGGCACUGCUGCAGCCAUCUUGUUCCAGGAAGGGUAAAACCUGAGGUUAGAAGCCAACAUCCUAAUGAUGGCAGAGAAGACAAAGAGAACCAGAGUCUAAAUGACAUUGUUGAGUUAGAUCACUACACUACCUCUAGUCUUCUUUUUAUGUGUGAUAAUAAAUCUCACUUAUACUUAAGCCAUUUGAAGUUGAGUCUAAUGUUCAUUUCAGACCAAAGCAGCUUAACUGACAUGUUCUCCGCUUUGUUACCCUAUCCAGUUGUUUUCAUGCAGGAAAUAAAUCUCAAAU
RNAcentral lists this long non-coding RNA (1367 nucleotides) under Homo sapiens (human). RNAcentral describes it as "non-protein coding LINC01322:11". The record is from RNAcentral. Lineage: Eukaryota; Metazoa; Chordata; Mammalia; Primates; Hominidae.